GACAGAGGGUGCAAACGUUGUUCGGAAUUACUGGGCGUAAAGCGCGUGUAGGCGGCUAAGUAAGUCGGGCGUGAAAUCCCACGGCUCAACCGUGGAAGUGCACUCGAAACUGCAUAGCUAGAGUCCUGGAGAGGAAGGUGGAAUGCUUGGUGUAGAGGUGAAAUUCGUAGAUAUCAAGCGGAACACCGGUGGCGAAGGCGGCCUUCUGGACAGUGACUGACGCUGAGGUGCGAAAGCGUGGGGAGCAAACAGG
This 253-nucleotide ribosomal RNA is filed under the name uncultured bacterium. RNAcentral describes it as "partial 16S ribosomal RNA". It matches the Rfam family "Bacterial small subunit ribosomal RNA", at positions 524 to 776 of the family's 1533-position model. The record is from RNAcentral.